RNAcentral lists this ribosomal RNA (274 nucleotides) under uncultured bacterium. RNAcentral describes it as "partial 16S ribosomal RNA". It matches the Rfam family "Bacterial small subunit ribosomal RNA", at positions 523 to 796 of the family's 1533-position model. The record is from RNAcentral.
AUACGGAGGGAGCAAGCGUUAUUCGGAAUCACUGGGCGUAAAGGACGCGUAGGCGGGUUUGUAAGUCAGGUGUGAAAUCCUACAGCUCAACUGUAGAACUGCACUUGAAACUACAGACCUAGAGUAUGGAAGGGGCAGAUGGAAUUAGUGGUGUAGGGGUAAAAUCCGUAGAUAUCACUAGGAAUACCGAAAGCGAAGGCGAUCUGCUGGGACAUUACUGACGCUGAGGCGUGAAAGCGUGGGGAGCAAACAGGAUUAGAAACCCGGGUAGUCC